UAUUGCUCAUUUUGAUGCACACCACUCGUGUAUUGCUCCUACCCCACUGUGUAGACGAAACGAAAGUCUUGGGUGAGGUUUAUUUUCUUGUUUAUUCUGCUCUUAAACCUGCAGUGAAGUUAGCGCUUUGGAGAGGCGUCCUCAUACCAGAAUGCCUUGAGCUCGGGCCGCGUCCUGGGCCGUCGCAAUCAUCCGCUGCUGAUCCUCGAGGUCGGAGCCGCCAAGGCUCUCUCCCAAAGCUCGUUGGUGUGACGCUGCUACCAAAAUGCGGAUUCUAUUGUCCAUCGCUGUCGUGAUCCUAUCAAGUAUUCUCCACCAUCUAACAAGUGGGAAUACUCAAGAAUGCAACGUGGACCUUAACAUCGAUGACGUACGAAACAUGAUGAUUCCUUGCAACCAGACCUGCGAAGGGGCAGGAUAUUUGCCAAAUGGAACGGUUUGUUAUAUUAUUUGUCAAAACUGGGGCAGCCAAGCAAGCAAAGUCCCGGCGGCAACAUGCGAACUGUGUGGGACAUGCAGCGGUGGCCAAUGUGUCAAGAAACCGGAGUGCGAAGGCUACGGACGCUGAUGCAGCAUCAUGGUAUUAAUUCCUCAGGAUCGGCGGGUGCCUCUCUCCCUCAGCGCACAUUUGUUGCGGCAAUGUGGUUGUAUGUGUCACCUUUCUAAUAAAUGUGCACAUGUUUA
Long non-coding RNA from Dermacentor andersoni, 684 nucleotides. RefSeq lists it as uncharacterized. The record is from RefSeq and is a predicted model, not a curated record. Lineage: Eukaryota; Metazoa; Arthropoda; Arachnida; Ixodida; Ixodidae.